UUCUCGUGGCUCAGUUGGUAAAGAAUCUGCCUGCAAUGCAGGAGACCCAGGUUCAAUCCCUGGGUGAGGAA
This 71-nucleotide transfer RNA is filed under the name Bos taurus (domestic cattle). It matches the Rfam family "tRNA". Rfam says of the family: Transfer RNA (tRNA) molecules are approximately 80 nucleotides in length. Their secondary structure includes four short double-helical elements and three loops (D, anti-codon, and T loops). Further hydrogen bonds mediate the characteristic L-shaped molecular structure. tRNAs have two regions of fundamental functional importance: the anti-codon, which is responsible for specific mRNA codon recognition, and the 3' end, to which the tRNAs corresponding amino acid is attached (by aminoacyl-tRNA synthetases). tRNAs cope with the degeneracy of the genetic code in two manners: having more than one tRNA (with a specific anti-codon) for a particular amino acid; and 'wobble' base-pairing, i.e. permitting non-standard base-pairing at the 3rd anti-codon position. RNAcentral also lists the same sequence under 3 other names. The record is from Rfam by way of RNAcentral. Lineage: Eukaryota; Metazoa; Chordata; Mammalia; Artiodactyla; Bovidae.